This is an RNA transcript of Drosophila yakuba, 1143 nucleotides long. RefSeq lists it as uncharacterized. The transcript is spliced from 3 exons. The record is from RefSeq and is a predicted model, not a curated record. NCBI's taxonomy places the organism in Eukaryota, Metazoa, Arthropoda, Insecta, Diptera, Drosophilidae.
GAAUAUAUUCAUCUCAAAAUAUAUAAAAGCAAUUUUAUUACAUUACAGUGUUUCUAUGUGAAAAUUUGGAUUAGUCAUGUUCGAUACAACUAAAUACUUUCCCCACUCAGUUGAUUCUGAGCACCCAUCCCUGUCGGAGCCCAAUGAGUUCUCUUCUCAGGACAAUCUGGUCACCUACGAUAUGGUCCAUAAGCUGCAGGGAAGAUCUCCUGAUCAAAUUGUCGAAAUGGCAUCAGAAGCUGACCUACAUACAGGGCACGAUGUCACUCCAUCUCCUCAAUUAAUGAUUAUUUUUGAAGAAGGUGACAUCAACAGUGCACUGCACUUUUUAAUUGAGUCGGCUCAGAAUCCGUUUUCCUCGAAUGCGGUGGCCAUGGUUCUGGUUGAGGAGAAAAUUCGCGGGGAGAUCGUCGAUAGAAUCCUGCCUAAGCUACAUCCUCUUAACGUCCAGUGACACAAAUACAUGGAAGUUUAUACUUGAUUAACAAAGCAAUUUGUCUAUUUUGAGACUUAAACAGAGGAAAAGAUUCCCAUUAAUACAUUUGAAGACGCAUAUACUACGCCCAUACUCAAUGCAAGUCACUGCCUUCCGAGUCUCGAGUUAGCUGUCAGUUUCAAUCGUGUCUGCAGAACUUGUCACUCAUUCAAUAGUUUUGAAAAUUACGAAUGUCACUUACAUCCCAACAACAAGAACCACUGCCUUGCACUUACAGCUUCCUCUUUCCUCAGGCACAUGUGUCUGUGAGUAAGCAUCCUUGCCAAGGAUGCGGACUGAGACAAUGUUGCCGGAGACGGAGAAGGAUACUGCCAAGAAGACAAAGUCGAGUCAGAAGAAUGACGCGGCAGCAGACGCUGAGAAUUAAAACAAGGCCAAGGAAUAAAAUAAUAAAAGAACACGAAGCAAAGCAAAAGAAAAAGUGAAGGCUCCCAUACCGUUCCAGCCUCUCGUAUUUGUGUGCGGAUGACCCAUAAUAGAGAAGGGUUUUGGGGCCACUACACGGAAGAAAAUAUAUGAGGGGUAGUUUCAUUUUAUACCCGUUACUCGUAGGGUAAAUAGAUUCGUUGAAAAGAAUGUAACACGCAGAAGAAAGUGUAAAAAGUAUAAAGUAUAUAUAUUCGCCCAAAAAUCGCCAAAUACUGCUA